GGGUGGGAACUCAAAGGAGACUGCCGGUGAUAAACCGGAGGAAGGUGGGGACGACGUCAAGUCAUCAUGGCCCUUACGAGUAGGGCUACACACGUGCUACAAUGGCGCAUACAUAGGGUAGCCAC
Molecule: ribosomal RNA, 125 nt
Filed under: uncultured bacterium
Lineage: Bacteria
Description: partial 16S ribosomal RNA
Rfam family: Bacterial small subunit ribosomal RNA
Source: RNAcentral